UACGUAGGUCCCGAGCGUUGUCCGGAUUUAUUGGGCGUAAAGCGAGCGCAGGUGGUUUAUUAAGUCUGGUGUAAAAUGUCCGGGCUCAACCCGGGCCGGCCGUUGAAACUGGGGAUCUUGAGUGGGCGAGAAGUAUGCGGAAUGCGUGGUGUAGCGGUGAAAUGCAUAGAUAUCACGCAGAACUCCGAUUGCGAAGGCAGCAUACCGGCGCCCGACUGACGCUGAGGCACGAAAGCGUGGGGAUCGAACAGG
RNAcentral lists this ribosomal RNA (252 nucleotides) under uncultured bacterium. Its description in RNAcentral is "partial 16S ribosomal RNA". It matches the Rfam family "Bacterial small subunit ribosomal RNA", at positions 524 to 776 of the family's 1533-position model. The record is from RNAcentral.